Molecule: ribosomal RNA, 1446 nt
Filed under: uncultured marine microorganism
Description: bacterial SSU rRNA
Rfam family: Bacterial small subunit ribosomal RNA
Source: RNAcentral
AGGGUUUGAUCAUGGCUCAGGAUGAAAGCUGGCGGCGUGCUUAACACAUGCAAGUCGAACGGACCUUCGGGUUAGUGGCGGACGGGUGAGUAACGCGUGAGAAUCUGCCCUCAGGAGGGGGAUAACGGUUGGAAACGACCGCUAAUACCCCAUAUGCCUAUUGGUGAAAUGAAUUUCGCCUGAGGAUGAGCUCGCGUCUGAUUAGCUAGUUGGUGAGGUAAUGGCUCACCAAGGCUUCGAUCAGUAGCUGGUCUGAGAGGAUGAUCAGCCACACUGGGACUGAGACACGGCCCAGACUCCUACGGGAGGCAGCAGUGGGGAAUUUUCCGCAAUGGGCGAAAGCCUGACGGAGCAACGCCGCGUGAGGGACGAAGGCCUCUGGGCUGUAAACCUCUUUUCUCAAGGAAGAAGAUAUGACGGUACUUGAGGAAUAAGCCACGGCUAAUUCCGUGCCAGCAGCCGCGGUAAUACGGGAGUGGCAAGCGUUAUCCGGAAUUAUUGGGCGUAAAGCGUCCGCAGGCGGCUUUUCAAGUCUGCUGUUAAAACGUGGAGCUUAACUCCAUCAUGGCAGUGGAAACUGAAAGGCUUGAGUAUGGUAGGGGCAGAGGGAAUUCCCGGUGUAGCGGUGAAAUGCGUAGAUAUCGGGAAGAACACCAGUGGCGAAGGCGCUCUGCUGGGCCAUUACUGACGCUCAUGGACGAAAGCCAGGGGAUCGAAAGGGAUUAGAUACCCCUGUAGUCCUGGCCGUAAACGAUGAACACUAGGUGUCGGGGGAAUCGACCCCUUCGGUGUCGUAGCUAACGCGUUAAGUGUUCCGCCUGGGGAGUACGCACGCAAGUGUGAAACUCAAAGGAAUUGACGGGGGCCCGCACAAGCGGUGGAGUAUGUGGUUUAAUUCGAUGCAACGCGAAGAACCUUACCAGGGUUUGACAUCCUGCGAACCUCUUAGAAAUUUGAGGGUGCCUUCGGGAAUGCAGUGACAGGUGGUGCAUGGCUGUCGUCAGCUCGUGUCGUGAGAUGUUGGGUUAAGUCCCGCAACGAGCGCAACCCACGUUUUUAGUUGCCAGCAUUUAGUUGGGCACUCUAGAAAGACCGCCGGUGAUAAACCGGAGGAAGGUGUGGAUGACGUCAAGUCAUCAUGCCCCUUACACCCUGGGCUACACACGUACUACAAUGCUACGGACAAAGGGCAGCAAACUCGCGAGAGCUAGCAAAUCCCAUAAACCGUGGCUCAGUUCAGAUCGUAGGCUGCAACUCGCCUACGUGAAGUAGGAAUCGCUAGUAAUCGCAGGUCAGCAUACUGCGGUGAAUACGUUCCCGGGCCUUGUACACACCGCCCGUCACACCAUGGAAGUUGGCCAUGCCCGAAGUCGUUACUCCAACCCUUGUGGAGGAGGACGCCGAAGGUGGGGCUAAUGACUGGGGUGAAGUCGUAACAAGGUAACC